Molecule: ribosomal RNA, 660 nt
Filed under: uncultured beta proteobacterium
Lineage: Bacteria; Pseudomonadati; Pseudomonadota; Betaproteobacteria
Description: bacterial SSU rRNA
Rfam family: Bacterial small subunit ribosomal RNA
Source: RNAcentral
AGUCGAACGGUAACUGGGAGGAGCUUGCUCCGCCCCGACGACGAGUGGCGAACGGGUGAGUAAUACAUCGGAACGUGUCCGCUCGUGGGGGACAACCAGCCGAAAGGUUGGCUAAUACCGCAUGAGUUCUACGGAAGAAAGAGGGGGACCCGCAAGGGCCUCUCGCGAGCGGAGCGGCCGAUGACUGAUUAGCCAGUUGGUGAGGUAACGGCUCACCAAAGCAACGAUCAGUAGCUGGUCUGAGAGGACGACCAGCCACACUGGGACUGAGACACGGCCCAGACUCCUACGGGAGGCAGCAGUGGGGAAUUUUGGACAAUGGGCGCAAGCCUGAUCCAGCUAUUCCGCGUGUGGGAUGAAGGCCCUCGGGUUGUAAACCACUUUUGUAGAGAACGAAAAGACACCAUCGAAUAAAUGGUGUUGCUGACGGUACUCUAAGAAUAAGCACCGGCUAACUACGUGCCAGCAGCCGCGGUAAUACGUAGGGUGCGAGCGUUAAUCGGAAUUACUGGGCGUAAAGGGUGCGCAGGCGGUUGAGUAAGACAGAUGUGAAAUCCCCGAGCUUAACUCGGGAAUGGCAUAUGUGACUGCUCGACUAGAGUGUGUCAGAGGGAGGUGGAAUUCCACGUGUAGCAGUGAAAUGCGUAGAUAUGUGGAAGA